CAGAUCUGGAAGGGUUCCCUGAGGAAGUGAUGUUUAGUGAGAUUCAAGGUCAGAGUGAAAUGUGACAAGGAUUCGCCAAGAAGACACUUCGAUAAUAAUCGUCUUCAAAAUUCAGUCUUCUCUGUCAUUGUCACUGUCAUCGUCUUGCAAAAAUGAUUAAGGGAGAAGCUCAUUAAAAGACCACUACCCCUUUAGAUGGUCAUUACAACAAUGGAAACUAAUCCUGGUCCUGUCUUGGGUGUUCACUCUGAGUUGGGCACUGAGUUGGUGCCUCAGAUGUGAUGGCCGAUCGUGCUGAAUCCUCACAGCUGCCUGAAGUUUGACUCUCUCAGACAUUGACAAGUCUCCUCGGAGCAGAGGGGUCCAUCAGGCAAGAGUCUUCGAUUUUGCCACUUGGAGAGGAAAGUGGAAAGAAAGUGAAGGAAGGACGUUCCUGAGGAAGAAGAAGCCUGAAUUCCAAAGGGUUUAAAACAGGGUUCAUUUUUUUAAAUCUGGUGACAUUUGCUCAACAUUCACCCCCAUUUUGCUAACCCUGAGCCAGGAGCUCAGAGCACCGUGGAGAGAGCCAAUCCACGUCGAGGCUUAGCCACCGCUGCCGGAACCAGCUGCUUCCAGGGCAUCUCUAUUCGUUACACCCAUCAACGCGGAUGCCUCUGAAUCUCCGGGCCUCCUUCUGUAGUAGAUUCUUCUCUUCCAAAGCCUGAAAUUGUUAACGAGAUCUAGGAUUUCUCCCUUCAACUUCCCACUGCAAACUAACGGGAAAAAGCUAAACCUUAAUAAAAUAGCUGCGCUCUCC
Molecule: long non-coding RNA, 796 nt
Organism: Equus caballus (horse)
Lineage: Eukaryota; Metazoa; Chordata; Mammalia; Perissodactyla; Equidae
Source: Ensembl